GUCCAUGCCGUAAACGUUGGGCACUAGGUGUGGGUCUCAACCAACGAGAUCCGCGCCGUCGCUAACGCAUUAAGUGCCCCGCCUGGGGAGUACGGUCGCAAGACUAAAACUCAAAAGGAAUUGACGGGGGCCCGCACAAGCAGCGGAGCGUGUUGCUUAAUUCGAUGCAACGCGAAGAACCUUACCUGGGUUUGACAUGUAGGGAAAAGCUCUAGAGAUAGGGUGUCCUUCGGGGCCUUACACAGGUGGUGCAUGGCUGUCGU
This 263-nucleotide ribosomal RNA is filed under the name uncultured bacterium. RNAcentral's name for it is "partial 16S ribosomal RNA". It matches the Rfam family "Bacterial small subunit ribosomal RNA", at positions 793 to 1055 of the family's 1533-position model. The record is from RNAcentral.